RNAcentral lists this long non-coding RNA (515 nucleotides) under Homo sapiens (human). Its description in RNAcentral is "HSALNT0394987". The record is from RNAcentral. Lineage: Eukaryota; Metazoa; Chordata; Mammalia; Primates; Hominidae.
GUAACAUCCUUUGUUUUAGAAGCUUUUCUAUGUUCCUCAUCGCUACGUAACUUCCUUUGUUUUAGAAGCUCUUCUAUGUUCCUCAUCACUAGAGAAAACCCGAAGUCAGAAGCACGCCGGCAUCCACUUGCGGCCGCCCUGCCUGAAUAUGACAUGGAUGGGUGUGACCAACGUAGAGUCUUCAGGAGGCUCGGUUUGUGCCUUUUGGCAAGCUUUUCCUGAGGCUGAUCAAGUCGGGCCUGUCUAUCAGCUGAAAUCUCCCGGUGAUGCCUGUUCUGACCACCAGAAAGGACCUUGAGUUUCAAGCAGUGUUUCUGUUUAAUUUCUGCGUGUGCAUUUAUUACUGCUUGAACAUUCUCAGGAGUUUUAAACCUAGCAUGGCAUUCUGUAUCUCCUUCUAGAAAUCAACAUAAACAACUUCUGGGAUCACUGCCAAGUAUUCUGUACAAAAUCACUCCUGACUUAAAAUUCGUGUAAAAAUCGUUCAACUUUUUGCAACUCAUGAAAACGUUUCA